UUAGGAAUCGUUGACAAUGGGCGAAAGCCUGAUCACGCGACACCGCGUGUAGGAAGAAGCAUUUCGGUGUGUAAACUACUGUGGUAGGGGAAGAAGCCUCGGCGUAAGCCGGGAUUGACGGUACCCUACUAGAAAGUGUCCGCUAACUGCGUGCCAGCAGCGGCGGUAAUACGUGGGACACAAGCGUUAUCCGGUGUGACUGGGCGUAAAGCGUGUGUAGGCGUCCCUUCAAGUUUCUGCUUAAAGAUCCCGACUCAAUCGGGGGCAAGGCGGAAAAACUGGAGGGAUCGAGUUUUCUUUAGGGAAACUGGAAUUGACGGAGGAGUAGUGAAAUGCGUUGAUACCGUCAAGAACACCAGUGGCGAAGGCGAGUUUCUGAAAGAUAACUGACGCUGAGACACGAAAGCUAGGGGAGCGAACCGGAUUAGAGACCCGGGUAGUCCUAGCCGUAAACGAUGCUCGCUGGCUGCAUUCUCCCGAUUUAUCGGAAGGCUGUGGCGAAGCUAACGCGUUAAGCGAGCCGCCUGGGGAGUAUAGUCGCAAGGCUGAAACUCAAAGGAAUUGGCGGGGAGACACACAACUAGUGGAGCAUGUGGUUUAAUUCGAUACAAACCGAAGCACCUCACCAGGGUUCGACAUGUAAGAUGCCAUCUCGCAGAAACGUGAGAUUUCCGCAAGGACGCUUACAAAGCUGUUGCAUGGCUGUCGUCAGUUCGUUCCGUGAGGAGUGCCCUUAAGUGGGACAACGAACGCAACCUUCGUCGCAAGUUACAAGUAUCUUGCGAGACGGUCCUGCCUUUCGGCGGGAAGGAAGGAGAAGCAGACGUCAAGUCAGCAUGAUGCCUAUGCCCUGGGCGACACACAUGCUACAAUGAGAUCGACAGAGAGUUGCGAAGUGGUAACAUUUUAGCUAAUCUCCCAAACGAUCUCUCAGUGGGGAUUGAGGGCUGAAACUCGCCCUCAUGAACGCGGAAUUAGUAGUAAUCGCGGAUCAGCUAUGUCGCGGUGAAUACGUUCUUGUCUCUUGCACACACUGCCCGUCAAGCUAACAAAGUCGGGACUACCCGAACUCCGCUUUUGCGGGGGAGGGUAAAUUCGG
RNAcentral lists this ribosomal RNA (1099 nucleotides) under groundwater metagenome. RNAcentral's name for it is "bacterial SSU rRNA". It matches the Rfam family "Bacterial small subunit ribosomal RNA", at positions 355 to 1471 of the family's 1533-position model. The record is from RNAcentral.